This 212-nucleotide long non-coding RNA is filed under the name Marmota monax (woodchuck). The record is from RNAcentral. Lineage: Eukaryota; Metazoa; Chordata; Mammalia; Rodentia; Sciuridae.
GUGGUCCGCGCCGCCGCGGGGCCGGGCGGACCGGGCGGGUCCCCGCCGUCAUUGUCUGCGCUCUAGCCGGCUGCGGCCAGGGACGGCGGGCCCCGCUGAGGCGCAAAGGACGGAAGGGCGUCGCCUCAUGGCCGGGGGCUUCUGCACCCUAGGCCCGUGGCGGGCGGUACUGUGAGGCGGGUCGGGGACUUCGGGUACGCUGGCGAGGCGGC